UAAAUUUUAGUUUAAACUAAAAAUUUUUUUUUUACAAAAAAAAGAUAAUUUAAUAAUUAAAUUUAA
RNAcentral lists this transfer RNA (66 nucleotides) under Aenasius arizonensis. RNAcentral describes it as "tRNA-Val". Lineage: Eukaryota; Metazoa; Arthropoda; Insecta; Hymenoptera; Encyrtidae. The record is from RNAcentral.